GAUAGCGCGCACGGAGACGGUCGAUUCCUGCUCGUCGAGCAGAUCAGCCUCACCGAAGUAUUCGCCGUCGCCCAGAAGUGCUAUCCGUAAAUCCUCACCGUGUGAGCCUUUGCUGAUGACUUCGGCCUGUCCGCUGGCCACGAUGAAGAAACGCUGCUUGUCCUUACCCUCCUCGACGAAGAACUUGUCCACGUCGAUCUCCUUUGCUUCAAAUGAGUUCACCAAGCGAUUCAGGAUCUCGUCAUCAAACUCAGAGAACAGUGGGAUAGCCUUCAGGUUCUUGGCUGUAAACGACGGCACGCCAUUUACGUACUGAAUGGGCAGGCGAUCGUUCUUUCGGAGCUCCACCUUUGUGCGGUUCACGCGGAAGGUGCCGCCGCUGACCUGUACCCAUGGUAACAGUUUCAGGAGCAGUCGAGGAGUGAUACUGCCCAUCUGUGGGGCUGUCUUGGUGGUUGUUGCCAGUCUCCUGGCGGUAGCAGUG
RNAcentral lists this non-coding RNA (484 nucleotides) under uncultured Prevotella sp. The record is from RNAcentral. Lineage: Bacteria; Pseudomonadati; Bacteroidota; Bacteroidia; Bacteroidales; Prevotellaceae.